GAAGAGGAAGAAAGAAAGGAUACAAGGGAGAGAGGGAGAGAGAGGCAAUCAUAUGUACCUACGGGGGAAGGAUGGCCAGCCACACAGGAGGGUGAUUUUUACUAAGGAGAAGGAGGCCGUGCUGACCGAGAUGCAUGCUCGCCAUUUCGAAGUUAAGCGUAUGAUUGCCAAAAUCAACCUACGCUUCUUCUGACGGAAUUGUCAAGGAGGUGGAAAGCCGGGCAAAUGAAAUAACCUUUUGUUUAUCAAUCACAUUCUAUUAUAUCUGAAAUUAUUAUGAUUUCAAAAAAUGUCACAUCAGAGAGCACACAAUGUUUCAAUUUGUCACUUUUUGCUUAAAGGUCAGUACCCUGUCUAGUUAGGUCAGUAAAGGAAGAGUACAUGCUUAACUCUAAAUUCCCUUCUGUAACCCAUUAAAAAUAGUGCUUGGAACCAUUAAUAGAUUUUUGUUUUGUUUGAUACCCAAUAAGGACGAGACUGGCGAGGCCACCUCCAAGGCGAUGGUGGACAUCUUCACCACCCACGGUUCUCUUGAGGUCAUCUUGAGUGACCGAGGUCAUGAACACUGGAACAAGGUUUAGUGAAUGGAACAAACAGACCCUCAAGACUGCCAUGGGCAAGACCCUUGAUUUGUAGCAGGAACGGUGGGAGAACAAUCUGAAUGUAAUUAUUUUUGCACACAAAAGCAGCAUCCAGGUCUCUGUAUGGACGGGAGCCACAGCUGUUGACUGAGAUCACUAAAGCUCCACCUGAUGUGGUGGAAGUUGUCGAACCAGAUCAGAAAGCCUUCAAGGACCACCUUCAAGCACGGACUGAGAAGGAUGUGGAGUUUUUUGUUGUUGUUGCUCUGAGUCGGAGGGGUACCAGCUUGAGGAGCUAGGGGUUCUGCCCAACACCCAGAUGUGGAUCCACCUGAUGUCCUCCAAUACCAACCACCUUCCAACUUUUCAUUACAUCAUCUACAGCUACUGUUAUUGUCAUGUUGUCAUUAUCUGCUAAGAAAGUUUUUUUGCUCUAUUAUACUGGGCACACAAUAUGUGAGAUACACAGCUUAACCAAAAACACUAGCACUGCAAACAUUCAGAACAAAGAGAGCAGUAGUGCCUGGACUUUGCCGUCUCCCUCUUCAAGUCCCCCUUCUGAGACUGGCUGUCUGUUGAGAACAACCCAGGUAACAAGGAACGUAACUGAGACAUUUGUAACAUUCCCCUUAAGUCUUCCAGAGGUACUGAAUGUCAUAGCCCGUUUGGGACAUUAUAGGCACAUUCAUAACGUUUCUAAUAAGUAUUAUAGAUGUUAUAAAUAUCCGGUCGAUAUACAGACAUCAUGGGAACAUUAAAAACGUUCCUUGGUAGUCCAUGAAAGGUUCUGAAUAUCAUGUUAUUUUGGAGAUAUUCUAGGAACAUUUCAUAAGGUUACAUUUAGAGCUAUGGUUUUUGUCUUCAUAUAACGUUACAAUCGGAAUAAUAGAAAUACAUUUUGGAACGUCGUCUGUAAGUCAAGUGGUGGUACACUUGUAACGUUGUCUUUCUAAUUGUGUAGGAACAUUUGUUACAUUCUAAAUAAGUAUUUUAGAUCCCAAGAUAUUGGGGCCAGCAUACUUGUGCUUGGAGUAAAGGAAGUGGAUCCA
This is a non-coding RNA of Salmo salar (Atlantic salmon), 1630 nucleotides long. The record is from RefSeq and is a predicted model, not a curated record. NCBI's taxonomy places the organism in Eukaryota, Metazoa, Chordata, Actinopteri, Salmoniformes, Salmonidae.